UACGUAGGGGGCAAGCGUUGUCCGGAAUCAUUGGGCGUAAAGAGCGUGUAGGCGGUCCGGUAAGUCGGUUGUGAAAGCCCAGGGCUCAACCCUGGGAUGCCGACCGAUACUGUCGGACUAGAGUUCGGAAGAGGCGAGUGGAAUUCCCGGUGUAGCGGUGAAAUCCGUAGAUCUACGAAGGAACGCCAAAAGCGAAGGCAGCUCUCUGGGUCCCUACCGACGCUGGGGUGCGAAAGCAUGGGGAGCGAACAGG
This 253-nucleotide ribosomal RNA is filed under the name uncultured bacterium. RNAcentral describes it as "partial 16S ribosomal RNA". It matches the Rfam family "Bacterial small subunit ribosomal RNA", at positions 524 to 776 of the family's 1533-position model. The record is from RNAcentral.